This 148-nucleotide non-coding RNA is filed under the name Pan paniscus (pygmy chimpanzee). The record is from Rfam by way of RNAcentral. RNAcentral also lists the same sequence under 1 other name. Lineage: Eukaryota; Metazoa; Chordata; Mammalia; Primates; Hominidae.
GCUGGGCGUGGUGGCGUGCACCUGUAAUCCCAGCUACUCGGGAGGCUGAGACAGGAGAAUCACUUGAACCCAGGAGGCAGAGGUUGCAGUGAGCCAAGAUCGUGCCACUGCACUCCAGCCUGGGCUACAGAGUAAGACUCUGUCUCAA